AUAAUGGGUCAAGGUGUGAAGAUACAGCUUUCAAAUUUCAAAAGAAGCAUGCACAACCUGUAUGGUUAUGUUCCUAAACUGAGUUCUCAGAUCUGAGCAUCCCAUAUGAACUUCAUCCAUUGUCUCAGCUGCGAGCUUGAGAUCUACUUUGAUUAGAAAGGAAUUUGUCCAUCUUCAGUAGCUUCUUUAGCAGAAUUACUUCGUGAGCUUGGGUUUUUCAAAAUAAAAAAAGGUGGUGGAAAUUCUGUCCAAAAACUUUUUAGCUCCUGCUUUGAGCGUGAUGCUUUCUGACUUGCAUGGUCUUGCUUUCCAUCAGCCUCUGAGCCUGUAGUCCUGUACUUUUACACAGCACACUUGCCCUUCAAGAGAAUUAGACAGAUGACGAUGCUUUUCCGAUAGAGUGCCCAGUGGUGUCUAAACCAUGACACAGAGGAUGCUGGUGGAGUCUCAAGGCCGUGGAGUGUCCUGCAGUGUUAGUAAGGAGGGUGCUGGGAUUAUAGAUUUUCAUAGAUUGCACCAGGCAGUUUCCAAAGCUCUUUGUGAUACCUGAGGUGAAAAUUAACAGCAAUUGUAAGAGUUUGGCAUACAUGACGUCUAAUAGCACUGACAAGACUUAGACACCCCCUUCUCUCCUCCUUUGCUCCUCUGAAUGAAAAUGGCUCGAUAGCUCCAGAUGAACUAUUAUUACACGUUAUGUGAAUUUUUGUGAAUUAAACUAAUUUGUCUUUUAAGAAUCCAUUUAUGUAUUUCCUCUCUCUGAACAACUUAUACAAUGGAGCAGACCUAGUAUCUUUGUCAAAUUAUUAGUGCCUCGGGUUUCUAAUUACUAGUUUGAAUCACAUAGCCCUUCUGGUAAAAUGUUGAAUGUACACUAGAAGAAAAAGCAUAAUCAAAAGAAAUAAUAGAUUAUGCAAUAUAUAAAUAGGAUUACCAGCAAUGCAUUCUCAUUUAAGGCAACAUUUAAUACAGUAGUUGUUGCUUUGGGUCCCAUAUCCCAUUUAUUUUGUAUUGGGGGGGGGGAGUGUUAAGUGUUAUCAACAAGUAAAAAAAAAAAGACAACCUCAGAUGACAUUAGUUCUUAACAAAAUUAAAGCAAUGAAGAACAGAAAUUUGCAUGCAUAAAUAAUCGAACGCUUUAUGUAAAAGUAACAACUUUGCCCUGUACUUAAUGCUAUAAUCACAUUCUCUUUAGAAUGAAAGGUUUGCAAUGACACCCUUUACCCAAACUUACUCAGUUUUUAUAACUCCAUUCUCAUGUAAGAGUUGUCAAAAUCCAGUUUUCGUAUAAAAUUAUUUAUUUACUGUUUUAUACAUGAGGGAUAUACUGUAUUGCUCAUUUCUAUAACUUGAGAAACUAUAGAGACUCAAGUAAACAUUAUCAUGGGUUAUUAAAACUGCUGAAAUCUCAGAGUGCAUUAGAGGAUUUGAAGGGAAGAGCAUUCAUAGCUGUGACAUAGGAGACUGGUGAUGCCAAGUCCUCACCGAGCCUAGCUGUGUUCUCCCCUUCCUUUCUAAUGAGUUUUCAGCAACAUAUUACUACAAACAGAAAUGUUUUAUAGGUGAAUUUUACCAUAGUAGGA
Molecule: long non-coding RNA, 1580 nt
Organism: Microtus ochrogaster (prairie vole)
Lineage: Eukaryota; Metazoa; Chordata; Mammalia; Rodentia; Cricetidae
Exons: 3
Source: RefSeq, a predicted model, not a curated record